Molecule: long non-coding RNA, 1223 nt
Filed under: Marmota monax (woodchuck)
Lineage: Eukaryota; Metazoa; Chordata; Mammalia; Rodentia; Sciuridae
Source: RNAcentral
CCCAACAGAAGAAGAUGGCUCAAGACCGGCCUUUACUUGCUGUGCAGGAGGCCCUGAAGAAGUGCUUCCCGGUGGUGGAGGAGCAGCAGGGCCUGUGGGAGAGCACCCUGCGGGACUGCUCGCCGCUCCUGGCCUCCCUCAGCAACCUGGCAGAGCAGUUGCAGGCCGCGCAAAGCGUGCGGUUCCAAGAUGUGCCGGCGCUCCGGGCCUUCCCGGACUUACAGGAACGGCUGAGGCGCAAGCAGCUGGCGGCUGGGGACGUGGUCCUGGACAAGCUAGGGGAGAGGCUGUAAGGAUUUCCUCGGUGCCUUUUAGAAGGAUCUUUAAACUGGGCGCUUUCAAGUAGCUUGGGUGGAUCAGAAGAGUGUUUUUACUCGGGAGCAUGGCAUUUGAAGGUGUUUCGGCCCUUCCUUCUGUUGCGAAGGGACCACUGUCAAAAAGCCACUUUCUGGCAUUUCCCUUGUCAGAAGCCAGGCAUGUAGAAGAUACAAAAGCACAAAGGAAAAGGAGUGGAGAAGGCUUAUUAGCCCUUCUCUAUAGUUGUCUUUGGUAAAGGCAACAAGGAACUGGGCUUUAAGCUUAGCAGGUGCCAGAACUGAAGGUUUUACCUACAUUACCCAUAAAGUCCUUUAAUACCUCUGCGACUUAACCUCACUUCAUUCCAGUUUUUGCAAGUGAGGAAAUGGACUCAAGCAGGUUGCCCUUGGGCACACAUCUAGUAAAUAGUUGACUGGAUUCCAACCCCCAUCUUUUGAAACACCAAAGUCAGAGCUUUUUGUUUGUUUGUUUGUUUUUUAAGUCCAUCUUAAGAUAAAUAUAUAUUUAAAAUAUUUAUUUUUUAAUGGUAGUUGGACACAAUACCUUUAUCUUAUUUUAUUUGUAUAUGGUGCUGAGUAUCGAACCCAUGGCCUUGUACCUGCUAGGUGAGCUCUUGACUGCUGAGCCACAACCCCAGCGCCUAUGUUAUUUAUUUAUUUUUUGUGGUGCUUUGGAUUGAACCCAGUGCCUCACACAUGCUAGGCAAGCACUCUGCCCCUGAACUAUGGCCUCAGCCCUUUAAGUCCAUUUUUUAAUACCUUUAUUUAUUUAUUUAUUUUUUAUGUGGUGCUGAGGAUUGAAACCAGUGCCUCACACAUGCUAGGCAAGCACUCUACCACUGAGCGACAACCCAGCCCCAGAGCUCUUAACUAUUAUUUGUUUUGCUGUGCAUUGGUGUCUCUGUG